RNAcentral lists this ribosomal RNA (585 nucleotides) under Pseudomonas sp. StFLB189. RNAcentral's name for it is "bacterial SSU rRNA". It matches the Rfam family "Bacterial small subunit ribosomal RNA", at positions 102 to 683 of the family's 1533-position model. The record is from RNAcentral. Lineage: Bacteria; Pseudomonadati; Pseudomonadota; Gammaproteobacteria; Pseudomonadales; Pseudomonadaceae.
ACGGGUGAGUAAUGCCUAGGAAUCUGCCUGAUAGUGGGGGAUAACGUUCGGAAACGGACGCUAAUACCGCAUACGUCCUACGGGAGAAAGCAGGGGACCUUCGGGCCUUGCGCUAUCAGAUGAGCCUAGGUCGGAUUAGCUAGUUGGUGAGGUAAAGGCUCACCAAGGCGACGAUCCGUAACUGGUCUGAGAGGAUGAUCAGUCACACUGGAACUGAGACACGGUCCAGACUCCUACGGGAGGCAGCAGUGGGGAAUAUUGGACAAUGGGCGAAAGCCUGAUCCAGCCAUGCCGCGUGUGUGAAGAAGGUCUUCGGAUUGUAAAGCACUUUAAGUUGGGAGGAAGGGUCGUUACCUAAUACGUGACGAUUUUGACGUUACCGACAGAAUAAGCACCGGCUAACUCUGUGCCAGCAGCCGCGGUAAUACAGAGGGUGCAAGCGUUAAUCGGAAUUACUGGGCGUAAAGCGCGCGUAGGUGGUUUGUUAAGUUGAAUGUGAAAUCCCCGGGCUCAACCUGGGAACUGCAUCCAAAACUGGCAAGCUAGAGUAGGGCAGAGGGUGGUGGAAUUUCCUGUGUAGCGGUG